CUGUAAGCCUGUGAAGGUGUACUGUGAGGUAUGCUGGAGGUAUCAGAAGUGCGAAUGCUGACAUAAGUAACGAUAAAGCGGGUGAAAAGCCCGCUCGCCGGAAGACCAAGGGUUCCUGUCCAACGUUAAUCGGGGCAGGGUGAGUCGACCCCUAAGGCGAGGCCGAAAGGCGUAGUCGAUGGGAAACAGGUUAAUAUUCCUGUACUUGGUGUUACUGCGAAGGGGGGACGGAGAAGGCUAUGUUGGCCGGGCGACGGUUGUCCCGGUUUAAGCGUGUAGGCUGGUUUUCCAGGCAAAUCCGGAAAAUCAAGGCUGAGGCGUGAUGACGAGGCACUACGGUGCUGAAGCAACAAAUGCCCUGCUUCCAGGAAAAGCCUCUAAGCAUCAGGUAACAUCAAAUCGUAC
RNAcentral lists this ribosomal RNA (405 nucleotides) under Escherichia coli. RNAcentral's name for it is "partial 23S ribosomal RNA". It matches the Rfam family "Bacterial large subunit ribosomal RNA", at positions 1241 to 1647 of the family's 2925-position model. Lineage: Bacteria; Pseudomonadati; Pseudomonadota; Gammaproteobacteria; Enterobacterales; Enterobacteriaceae. The record is from RNAcentral.